CGGGGUGCAGCAGGCGCGAAAACUUUACAAUGCGGGAAACCGUGAUAAGGGGACACCGAGUGCCAGCAUCAUAUGCUGGCUGUCCAGGUGUGCAAAAUACACCUGUUAGCAAGGGCCGGGCAAGACCGGUGCCAGCCGCCGCGGUAACACCGGCGGCCCGAGUGGUGAUCGUGAUUAUUGGGUCUAAAGGGUCCGUAGCCGGUUUGGUCAGUCCUCCGGGAAAUCUGACAGCUUAACUGUUAGGCUUUCGGAGGAUACUGCCAGACUUGGAACCGGGAGAGGUAAGAGGUACUACAGGGGUAGGAGUGAAAUCUUGUAAUCCCUGUGGGACCACCUGUGGCGAAGGCGUCUUACCAGAACGGGUUCGACGGUGAGGGACGAAAGCUGGGGGCACGAACCGGAUUAGAUACCCGGGUAGUCCCAGCCGUAAACGAUGCUCGCUAGGUGUCAGGCAUGGCGCGACCGUGUCUGGUGCCGCAGGGAAGCCGUGAAGCGAGCCACCUGGGAAGUACGGCCGCAAGGCUGAAACUUAAAGGAAUUGGCGGGGGAGCACAAGGGCGAUUGCGG
RNAcentral lists this ribosomal RNA (567 nucleotides) under uncultured archaeon. RNAcentral's name for it is "bacterial SSU rRNA". It matches the Rfam family "Archaeal small subunit ribosomal RNA", at positions 326 to 893 of the family's 1478-position model. The record is from RNAcentral.